RNAcentral lists this transfer RNA (85 nucleotides) under Rhizobium phage RHph_TM61. RNAcentral's name for it is "tRNA-Leu". It matches the Rfam family "tRNA". Rfam says of the family: Transfer RNA (tRNA) molecules are approximately 80 nucleotides in length. Their secondary structure includes four short double-helical elements and three loops (D, anti-codon, and T loops). The record is from RNAcentral. RNAcentral also lists the same sequence under 7 other names. Lineage: Duplodnaviria; Heunggongvirae; Uroviricota; Caudoviricetes; Kleczkowskaviridae.
GUCGGUAUGGCGGAAUUGGUAGACGCCCUGGUUUUAGGUACCAGUGUCGAAAGACGUGUAGGUUCGAGUCCUAUUACCGACACCA